Molecule: ribosomal RNA, 660 nt
Filed under: Burkholderiales bacterium
Lineage: Bacteria; Pseudomonadati; Pseudomonadota; Betaproteobacteria; Burkholderiales
Description: bacterial SSU rRNA
Rfam family: Bacterial small subunit ribosomal RNA
Source: RNAcentral
AGCGGGGGAUAGCCCGGCGAAAGCCGGAUUAAUACCGCAUACGCCCUACGGGGGAAAGGGGGGGAUCGUAAGACCUCUCACUAUUGGAGCGGCCGAUGGCUGAUUAGCUAGUUGGUGGGGUAAAGGCCUACCAAGGCAACGAUCAGUAGCUGGUCUGAGAGGACGACCAGCCACACUGGGACUGAGACACGGCCCAGACUCCUACGGGAGGCAGCAGUGGGGAAUUUUGGACAAUGGGCGAAAGCCUGAUCCAGCAAUGCCGCGUGUGCGAAGAAGGCCUUCGGGUUGUAAAGCACUUUUGUCAGGGAAGAAAUCGUUCGGGCUAAUACCUCGGGCAGUUGACGGUACCUGAAGAAUAAGCACCGGCUAACUACGUGCCAGCAGCCGCGGUAAUACGUAGGGUGCAAGCGUUAAUCGGAAUUACUGGGCGUAAAGCGUGCGCAGGUGGUUCGUUAAGACAGUUGUGAAAUCCCCGGGCUUAACCUGGGAACUGCAAUUGUGACUGGCGGACUAGAGUUUGGCAGAGGGGGGUGGAAUUCCUGGUGUAGCAGUGAAAUGCGUAGAUCUCAGGAGGAACACCGAUGGCGAAGGCGCCCCCUGGGCCAUGACUGACACUCAUGGCACGAAAGCGUGGGGGAGCAAACAGGAUUAGAUACCCUG